Molecule: ribosomal RNA, 253 nt
Filed under: uncultured bacterium
Lineage: Bacteria
Description: partial 16S ribosomal RNA
Rfam family: Bacterial small subunit ribosomal RNA
Source: RNAcentral
UACGAAGGGUCCAAGCGUUAUCCGGAUUUAUUGGGUUUAAAGGGUGCGUAGGCGGUUUAUUAAGUCAGUGGUGAAAGACUUCAGCUUAACUGAAGAACUGCCGUUGAUACUGAUGAGCUUGAAUGUAGUUGAGGUGGGCGGAAUGUGUCAUGUAGCGGUGAAAUGCUUAGAUAUGACACAGAACACCGAUUGCGAAGGCAGCUCGCUAAACUAUGAUUGACGCUGAUGCACGAAAGCGUGGGGAGCAAACAGG